Molecule: non-coding RNA, 3031 nt
Organism: Podarcis lilfordi (Lilford's wall lizard)
Lineage: Eukaryota; Metazoa; Chordata; Lepidosauria; Squamata; Lacertidae
Source: the annotation of a GenBank genome assembly
GGCAUUUCAGAACUGCUGUAUUGGUGAGAGGGAUACGCCACUUUCCAUUCUCGAGAAGGAAGGUAGGACAUAAAUGUAAUUUAGCACAGGAAACUUGGUUUUUAUUUCUUCUAACCUUGAAAAACCCCUCAAGGUAUAAAUAAAACCAGUAGCUUAAAAUAUUCAUUAUUUUUUAAAAUUAUGAAUUUAAAUGCAGGUCAACUUUACAUAUCUGGGUCAGCCUGCUGAAACAGAUUUUUUUUGGCAGGUGCCCCAAACAGUACAGCAAAGGCACUUGCUUGAUGUCAAGGUGCAACUUGUGGGGGGUGUUCAUCAUAGGAGAAAACAUGCCAAUGUAAGCCACGUUUUAGCAAAGACAAAAAGAUCUUUAUAAAAAACAUUAUCAGAGGAGAGGCUAUUUGGACAAUGGUGUGCUAAAGGAAGAAAAGGAGACUGCAGAGCUGAAUGAAUUCCUUGCAUCUGGUUGGGGUGGAAGCUUGCAGGAUCUUGGAGCUCACUUUCACAGGAAGGGAGCCUGAGGAUUUGAGGCAAACAGCAGUGACAAGAGAUGAAAAUUCUAGUCCCUAUGGGGAAAGGCUAAUCUGAGGCCUAUACCAUCUGGUAUCCUAUUGGCUUGGCAGUCACCCACUUGGCUUUAAACUGUCUUAACCCAUUUCCUGUGUUCCCUAGGCAACCCUCCCCCCAUAUUUUAAUGUGAACAUUUGUUUCAGGCAGUGAUCAAUAUCACAAUGACUUAUCUUUAGGGCAAUUAGCAUAUGUAAAUGAAAACUACCAACCACCAGGAUAGCUGACAAUUAAUUUAGAGCCUGUACAGAACACUUCUAUUUCAGAGCUGCCUGGGCUUCAGCCUUGAGGAAUCCCAGUUGACAAGGACAAAGCCUUGGUUGCACAACCUCCCUAUCAUCCAACUGCUUCUUUGGCUUUCCAUAAAUCAACCCUGGGAGAAGAAUCCUUGCUUCCAAAAGCUGGAUCAUAGAAUUGUAGAGUUGAAAGGGACCCAGGGGUCAUGCCGCAAUGCACCCAUGGCAGAUAGCCACCCAACCUCUGCUUAAAAGUCCGCAACCUCUCGUGGAAGGCUGUUCCACUGCUGAACAGCUCUUACUAUCAGAAAGUUUUUCUGAAUGUUUAGUUGGAAUAUCCUUUCUUGUAACUUGAAUCCAUUGGUUCAAGUCCCAUCCCCUGGACACUAGACUUCUGUUGAUGCAGCCCAGAAGAGCAUUAGCUUUUUUGGCUGCUGCAUCACCCUGUUGACUCAUGUUAAGCUUGUGGUGCACUAAGACCCCUAGAUCCUUUUCACAUGUACUGCUAGUAAGCCAGGUGUCCUCCAUCCUUUAUUUGUGCAUCUGGUUCUUCCUGAAGAACCUAACAUUUGAGCUAAUUUCCUGCAAGACAUUGCAAAAAUCUCAUGAGAUGCCACAUAAAUCUUCUGAGUUCACCAAGAUCUUGCCAGAAAUCAGGGCUGAUGCCAGUGCUGCUUCUCUGCCAGUGCCAGAGGUGCCAGGGGCCCCACAGGGCACCACCUUAGGGACUUCUGCCUCAUGGCCCUCGCAAGUGGAUCACAGGUCUAAAUUGUAAAAGUGCCAUUCAAGAGUGCCAUACAGCAAAUAUGCCACAGCCUCACAAGUUUUUGGAUGGCAUUACCUGAAAGCAGGUCAGGAAUGUUGUGUGAGAGUGAAGCAGGAAUGGAGACCUGUCUCUAGACCACAAGCCAAGCCUGUUGACGUCCUGCUCCUAUCCAGGUAUGGCACAAACUCAAACUGCCAAGGCACUCACCUACCCACCAAACGGUCACCUAUUAAUCAAGAAAGAACACUGACACCCCUAGAUACUAUCACUAGUCCCUGGUUUUUUUAGUGGAAGCUCUCUUUAUACUGCCCUACAAUUCUGUCUUCCCCCAACAUUUAGCUUAAAAGGCCAAAGUUGUACUGUGCCAGUUUCUGUGAGGGGCUGAGAUGCAAAUGAGGUACAGGAGUCUAUUAUUUUUAACAUAUUUAAGUAUUGUCAGACAAUGUUCUUCAUCCAGCAUAAUGGAGUAGCCAGUACUUACUUCUAAGCUAGAUGAAAAACAAAUCUCUACAUAGAAAUUGCGGGCAAAUCCUAAAAUGAGUUAAGGUGUAAAAAGGUUCACAUGAAAUUACUAUCGGUAUUUGGAUUUCAAAGAUAACCCUAAUAGUUGAAAAUGUAAUCUACAUUAAAAAGUAACUUAUUCUCAGUUGUAGCUGAAAAGGCCAUAAUCAAGUUCUCUGUUUAACAUAUUAUUUGCAUGUACAGAAUGACAUUUUUGAGUGUCCCAAGUGCUUUGCAUAUUACUUCAGUAACUCCUUGGAGACACCACGAUAAAAUCUGAGGGCUCUGGGGGAGUCGGAAGGGACAUUUUAAAUGUGAACUCGCUCCUGCUCUUCUUGUCCUUGUUCUUUGCAACAUAAUACUUCCUUUACCACUAGAAGCAAUCUCUAAGAGAAAUUGCUUCCAUCUUCUUCUCUACAGGUCCAGCACCCCCAACAGGCAUACUAUAAAAUGAAAACCUGCUUCCAUAGCCUGUGCUCACAUUGCCACCUUGUGGAACCUGCUCCCACAGAAGCCUUCCUUUUCCUAUUAUGCCACUCCAGCUGCAACAAACUCUCUUCAUUCCUUUUCUACACAAACAUCACUGCAAGACUGCACCAUACAUGCACUCUUAGGGGAAAACUCUUUGCCACAUAGGAUAUUUUCAGCUUCCUCAACAGGUGCCUUAUUAUACUACAUUUAUUUUUAUUUCUAAGCCCAGGUAAAAAAUGAAGGGCUAUUCCAAAAAUGCCUCUUGAUCCUCUUCAUCAAGUUGCCUCAUCAGGACAGAUUUUUCUUGCAUUGAGACAGAUACUGAUCUCUGUUGCCAGGUACUGUCUCCUUCUAUCAGCAGUAGCUCUCCCGGUCCUCAGGAAAAACUAUCCUACUGCUGCCUAAGAUCCUUUUAUGUGGAGUCGAUGGAGAUUUAAUGCUAUGACCCUAACCCUACUUACCUGGGAGUAAGCACCAUUGAAUUGAUUAGUAC